GCACUCAACCUCCCUUCUCUCCCUCUCUCCUCAGAAUCGUGCCCCAUCUCUCUCUCUCUCUCUCUACCUUCAAAUCUUCAAGACUUGUUCUUCAUUCAAAGCUUUGAAGGUGAUCCAUGGAGGUUGCAAGUUGAAGGGCAUUCAAAGGAGCUUUGUUCUAGUCUUGUUCAUCAUCUUUCUCACCAUCAUCUUCACUAGAAUUUCUACCCUAGCCUUGUGCUAGUAGUUGUCGUGUAGCGGACAGGGUUUGAGAUUCGAUUCAAGACGCACUACUGUGAGUACAUAGACCCCUCUCUUACUGUUUUCCAAUGUUUUGGGGAGCUGUUGCUUAGGAUGUUCGUGACACACUAGGGCGGACCUAUGCCUUAGAGACUAAAAUAAAGAUGGAACUAGUUUAAUUAUGUGAUGAACACUUUGUUUCAGUUGAUUUAAGACUAUGUAACCUUUGCUUGAUGAAUAAAACAAAACUUUGAAUUACCAUGGUUGUGAAACAAAAAUUCUGUUACAACACUCCCCGACGUUUCCGCCACGAUUUGUUGUUUUACGUGGUCGGGGUGUGACAGAAGAGUUGGUAUCAGAGCCAAUGGUUAUAGGGAAUUAGGUUAUUAGUAAUGCUUUGACCUAGACUAUAACCUUUCUAGGACCCCAACACAAGUUGUCUUGUGUUUAGAUUUUAAAACAUGCACUUCACCUAUCCUUAGGUG
RNAcentral lists this long non-coding RNA (704 nucleotides) under Helianthus annuus (common sunflower). Its description in RNAcentral is "hypothetical non coding rna". The record is from RNAcentral. Lineage: Eukaryota; Viridiplantae; Streptophyta; Magnoliopsida; Asterales; Asteraceae.